CCUACGGGAGGCUGCAGUGGGGAAUAUUGGACAAUGGGCGAAAGCCUGAUCCAGCCAUGCCGCGUGUGUGAAGAAGGUCUUCGGAUUGUAAAGCACUUUAAGUUGGGAGGCGUUACCGACAGAAUAAGCACCGGCUAACUCUGUGCCAGCAGCCGCGGUAAUACAGAGGGUGCAAGCGUUAAUCGGAAUUACUGGGCGUAAAGCGCGCGUAGGUGGUUUGUUAAGUUGGAUGUGAAAUCCCCGGGCUCAACCUGGGAACUGCAUUCAAAACUGACUGACUAGAGUAUGGUAGAGGGUGGUGGAAUUUCCUGUGUAGCGGUGAAAUGCGUAGAUAUAGGAAGGAACACCAGUGGCGAAGGCGACCACCUGGACUAAACUGACACUGAGGUGCGAAAGCGUGGGGAGCAAACAGGAUUAGAUACCCUUGUAGUC
Molecule: ribosomal RNA, 432 nt
Filed under: uncultured bacterium
Lineage: Bacteria
Description: partial 16S ribosomal RNA
Rfam family: Bacterial small subunit ribosomal RNA
Source: RNAcentral